AUUCUGAAGGUAUCAUACACAAACUGACGUCACAGAGAACCAACAGUAAAGCAGAAUAAAGCAGAUAGUCAAAUUUUUAUUCAAACAAUAGGAACAACAGGAAGUGGGAAAUUCGUGGUAAAUGGCAAUGCAUAAGUAUUUUCCUUAUAAGAUAGUCAUUGCAUUCAAAUUCCUCACAACCCAUUUAUCACAAUUGCAGUUCAACAAAGUUGUAUCAGUAGUGCACAGAUUAGUGAAGGUACUUUUAUCUUUCAUAUGCUUCAUCUCUAAAGUAGCCCCAAUAGCACUUCCAUCAACACGAGAUAAAAACAAUUCUGAAGUUCAGAACUUGCCCCGAUGUCUUUAGAUCAAGCCUUUGCUCCUGCAAAUCCAAUUUUAAAAAUUCAGACAAAUCGACCCAAUUCCAAAAACAUCUCAAGUGUAAAUCAGAUCAGGAGGAGGAUUAAUGGCAGAGAAAGGG
This is a long non-coding RNA of Telopea speciosissima, 460 nucleotides long. RefSeq lists it as uncharacterized. The transcript is spliced from 2 exons. The record is from RefSeq and is a predicted model, not a curated record. Lineage: Eukaryota; Viridiplantae; Streptophyta; Magnoliopsida; Proteales; Proteaceae.